CCUACGGGAGGCAGCAGUGGGGAAUAUUGCACAAUGGGCGAAAGCCUGAUGCAGCGACGCCGCGUGAGGGAUGACGGCCUUCGGGUUGUAAACCUCUUUCAGCAGGGAAGAAGCGAAAGUGACGGUACCUGCAGAAGAAGCGCCGGCUAACUACGUGCCAGCAGCCGCGGUAAUACGUAGGGCGCAAGCGUUGUCCGGAAUUAUUGGGCGUAAAGAGCUCGUAGGCGGCUUGUCACGUCGGAUGUGAAAGCCCGGGGCUUAACCCCGGGUCUGCAUUCGAUACGGGCUAGCUAGAGUGUGGUAGGGGAGAUCGGAAUUCCUGGUGUAGCGGUGAAAUGCGCAGAUAUCAGGAGGAACACCGGUGGCGAAGGCGGAUCUCUGGGCCAUUACUGACGCUGAGGAGCGAAAGCGUGGGGAGCGAACAGGAUUAGAUACCCUGGUAGUCCACGCCGUAAACGUUGGGAACUAGGUGUUGGCGACAUUCCACGUCGUCGGUGCCGCAGCUAACGCAUUAAGUUCCCGCCUGGGGAGUACGGCCGCAAGGCUAAAACUCAAAUGAAUUGACGGCUGAGACCGNGCGAGACGACACGAGGGAGAG
This 598-nucleotide ribosomal RNA is filed under the name uncultured bacterium. Its description in RNAcentral is "bacterial SSU rRNA". It matches the Rfam family "Bacterial small subunit ribosomal RNA", at positions 338 to 949 of the family's 1533-position model. The record is from RNAcentral.